GUUUUCAAAGAAAAAACAUUACUUUCAUAUUUCAAAAAGUAAUUUUCUUUGAAAAAAGAAAAAGAAAAAAGCCAACUCAUACACAAGCAUGUACACAAUAAAAAAUAGAAAAAAGAAAAGAAGAAAUAGAAAAAAGGGGAAUUAGAUAGAUUGCUUUUAAAUAGAAACACGUGCCAGUGCAAAAACGGCCGUUAGCGGUUUCGGUUUCUCAGCACCUUGGGGCCGCAAUCCCAAACCGGCGACUCAUUCUCUCUCUAACCUUAUUCUUCUUCUUCCUGUUGUAGACCCCACACUUGCAUUCCUUUUCUUUCUCUUUCUGUUAAAUUAUUAUAAUUUUUUCUUUUUUAUGACUCUAUAAAAGGCCCACGAUAUAAACCCAGCACAGCAUUACCAUUAACCCCAUUUUUAUUAUAUUAUUUUAUACUGUAUAUUACACACUCUCUCUCUCUCUCGCCAGCGAAUAUAACCAGAAAAACAAGAGUGUGCGUGCGUGCGUGCGUGCGUGAGCUGAGUGAGAACCAAAGUAACCAAAGCAAGAAAGAGAAAAAAUUGCAACUGGGUUUUGAUUCUUAUACAGAAUUGUUCUCUCACAACACUUAAAAGUUCCAUUCUUUCUUGCUCACUCAAUUUCAACAUGUUGGAGGGAUCUUAUAUCGCCUCAAGGGGAUUACCAGCCUCAUGUGAGCAAGAGAGCCAAUGGAUUUACAAUUCUUUGCGUGUUGUUGAGCUCUCCAGCAAGCGCCGGAUGGAAGAUGAAGAUGCUGUAUCAAGAAAGGCAGCUAGGCCUUUAGACACAAAGGAGAGACAGGAAAACAUGGAAGGUCUAGAAGUUCUUCCUGCCUUGCAAACUGAUCAACCAGAUAAUCAGAAUCAAACAGAGGGACUGCCUGCUCUUUCUAUUAUGCAGUCUGAUCAAUCCAGUCAGCAUCAAGCAAUGGGUGUGGGUUUGAGUGGCCUUUCUGCUAUGCAAACUGAUCAGCCAGUUAAUCAGCAACAAGCGGAAAAUCUGCUUGUUCUUUCCAUUGUGCGAUCUGAUCACCCAGAGCACCAUCAAGUGGCAGGUCUGAGUGGUCUUUCAGUUGUGCAAAUUGAUCAGACCGAUAAUCAGCAUCAAGUGGCAGGUAUUCAUGUUCUUUCAGUUGUGCAAACUGAUCAACGGCAUAAUCAGCAACAAACAGAUGGCCUGCAGGGUUUUUCUGUCAUGCAAGCUAAUCAAGCAGAUAAUAAGGAUCAAGCAGAGGACAAGUCAGAUUCAAGUUCACUUAUUAGUGAACUAGGUCGAGAAUUGUCAAUAAGCUGUCUCCUUCAUUGCUCAAGGUCUGAUUAUGGCAACAUUGCUUCAUUGAACAAAAGCUUCCAGUUUGUAGUUCGGAGCGGUUUGCUGUAUAAGCUGAGGAGGGGUAUGGGUUAUGUUGAGCAUUGGGUAUACUUCUCAUGCAACCUCCUUGAAUGGGAGGCCUUUGAUCCUAUUCGCCGCCGAUGGAUGCAUUUGCCAAGAAUGAAUUCCAAUGAAUGCUUCAUGUGUUCGGACAAGGAAUCUUUGGCUGUUGGUACGGAACUGCUUGUGUUUGGGAAGGAAAUUGAGUCUCAUGUUAUUUACAAAUAUAGCAUCUUAACGAACACGUGGACAUCCGGCAUGAAGAUGAACACACCUCGAUGCCUGUUUGGGUCCGCUAGUCUGGGAGAAAUUGCAAUUCUAGCUGGCGGUUGUGAUCCAUGUGGCAAUAUUUUGAGCUCAGCCGAACUUUAUAAUUCGGAAACCGACACAUGGAUUACCAUUCCAAGCAUGCAUAAAGCCAGGAAAAUGUGUUCUGGAGUAUUUAUGGAUGGGAAAUUUUAUGUUAUUGGUGGAACUGGGACAGGUAAUACAAAGAUGCUGACCUGUGGAGAGGUGUAUGAUUUGGCAACAAAAACAUGGCUUGUGAUACCUGAUAUGUUCCCUGCACGAAAUGGAGGGACGGGGAGAAAUGAAACACCUGCUGCAGCUGAGGCACCUCCUUUAGUUGCAGUUGUAAAUAAUGAGCUUUAUGCAGCUGACUAUGCACACAAGGAGGUGAGAAAAUAUGACAAAAGAAAGAAUCUGUGGAUUGCACUCGGCGGGCUGCCUGAACAUGUAGUUUCAAUGAAUGGUUGGGGAUUGGCCUUUAGGGCAUGUGGUGAUCGGCUAAUUGUUAUAGGUGGACCUAGGACUUUAGGUGGGGGAAUGAUUGAGCUUAACUCUUGGGUUCCAGGUGAAGGCCCCCCAAAGUGGAAUUUGCUUGCAAAGAAACCUUCAGGGAGCUUCGUGUAUAAUUGUGCUGUGAUGGGAUGCUGAGGUGCAGUUUUAUCAACACCAAGUAUAAAGCACGGAGUCCUCUAUGUGGAACAUAGGUUUCCAAAAGAUGGGAAUCUGGACAUUGGGUGAUGGUGCUAAGCACCUGCAAACCUUCCUGUUGACCUCAAGACUUGUGAUGCAGGGGUCAACUCUAACCAUGCUUGGGCCAGCUUGUUUAUUUUUGCGUACGACAAGACCUUUGACUAGUCAACAGAAAGCUUCAAGGUGCUUACAGUUGCCCUGCAUUGAGGGAAGCUUCAAAUUCUUUGGCAUAAAACAUAGCUGGGGCAGAAUCCCAGAUUGAAAAACCAACUUAAUCAGCAGUUAGUCGGUGAACAAGAGAAGUGGGCAUUAAUCCUAUCGUACAUCAUGAUCUUUCUGCAGCCAAGAAAAGAAGCUAUUGGGCCAAAUUCUAGUCAAGAAUUACUAUAUAUGUCGAGCCGAGUUCUCCAUCUGCUUCCAUUUUAACCGCAAUGAAUUGUUGAGCUGGAAAUGAGUGGUACAGAAAAGAAAGCUGAGGGCUCGACAUUGAUUAUUUAGAUUGUAUCUGUUUCUUGGUAGAAAAAGAAAGUGGAAUAAGAGUAGCCAAGUAACUAAUCCCAAUAUCCCAUCCCAUCAAACUUCGGCUGGGAUUUGUACACCAAAAAAGAAGGUGAAAAUGGGAGAAAGAACAGGCAAGAAUGUCUGAAAUAGCGAGUUUUGCUGUCGACUGUCCUGUACGUCAUGAACAAUGGAACAUUUAUAAUCUUGAACUUGUGUACUUCUGUUGUGACAUCAGAAAAAGUUGGUUUAUGUGCAUGGUGGGGAACUGGGGACGGAGUUUAGUGCCCGAUAAGAGGACAAAGUGCCAAAAAGGCUGUUCCCUUGUUUUGUGUCUGCUCGUAUUUGUGAUUUCCAAUACUGUUCUUGCUUUUAGUCUGUUUCUAUUUUACUUAGUUGAAUUUGCUGCAUGAAAAAUCCUUUAUUUUUUUUCCUCUCUGUACUACUUGCUUCUAUCUGCUGCACGCAGACACAGUUGGUCCUGUUAGUCGCAAACAACUUUUCAUGUAUUUCUUUCUUUCAAAAGUCAAAACAAUUUAAUUGAACAGA
Molecule: RNA transcript, 3403 nt
Organism: Ricinus communis (castor bean)
Lineage: Eukaryota; Viridiplantae; Streptophyta; Magnoliopsida; Malpighiales; Euphorbiaceae
Gene name: F-box/kelch-repeat protein At1g74510
Exons: 4
Source: RefSeq, a predicted model, not a curated record